This 2003-nucleotide long non-coding RNA is filed under the name Amborella trichopoda. Its description in RNAcentral is "long non-coding RNA (ATRI_LNC000408)". The record is from RNAcentral. Lineage: Eukaryota; Viridiplantae; Streptophyta; Magnoliopsida; Amborellales; Amborellaceae.
GUUGCCACAUGGAGAAGAUUCCUUUGGUUGCCUGGUUGAUGACCUUUGAUGAGUGCUUAGAGUCGCUUGGAAUAAAGUAUACCAGCAUGUAAACACUCGUUGAUUUAUCAGAGUAUUGGGCAGUUUCUGGGAAUAUCUUGGGAAAAAAUAUUUUAGUAGGUCAACACUACUUGAUGUUAUAAGCAUGAGUAGGAUUCUAGUUCAUGGGUGUAAUCUCUUGAAUGUGGCCGAUUAUUCAACAAUAGUAUUCAUUUUUAUGUCUAUUGUGAAGUCAAUUUGCAAUAAUGUAACCGCCUCUCUUGAGAGAGGUUGUCCGGCUUGUUUUUAGUCUGAAUGGAUCCUCAUUAAACAAAAUGAUGAACCCUUUGACUUACAGGCAACUUAGAAAACACUAGAACAAAUAUUAAGUACAAUAUAAAGAACGAGCCUUCCUACAUAUGGAGCAGAAUAGUAUACCUAUUAUCUUACACAAUAUUCAAUGCGCCAAUGCUUUUCUUACAUGGAAUAUGUUUUAUUAGGAGGUGUCAUUGGUUUACUCAUUGAAAGAUUAUUGUCUCAGUUUAUUUGGAUAUUGGGAACUCUAAGUACUAGUGUGAUUCUCAUGAAUGAUUUGGCAAUUGAUUAUUAUGCACAAUUCUUCUUACUAGGUUUAUGAAAAUUGGGACUUGUGAGCUCCACGUAGCACUAAUGACAUCUUACUAAAGUGUUCUAAGAGAAGAAUCUGUGGCAAUUCCCAAAUGGAGCAUCAUCAUCAUCAUCAUCAUCAACAUCAUAAUCAUUAGCAUCAUUUAAGCCUUAUCCCAAUAAUUUGGGGUAAGCUUCAUGAACCUUGUUCCUUCAAUUUUUUGAAUCCUGUUCCUCCAGUUUUUGAAUCAUGUUCCUUCAUUCUUCUCUAUUAAGAGCCAAACCAUCAGUGAGACCAAAAGUCACUAUAUCUUUUUUUAGUGCUUCUAUCCAUGUCCGUUUGGGCUUUCCUUUUUCCCUUUUAGAGCCUUUCACUCGAAUCAAAUCACACUUCCUUAUCAGCGCUGCAUUAGGUCUACAUUGCACAUGGCCAGCCCAUCGAAGUUUUCUUUCACUAGUCUUAUCGCCUAUUGAAGCCACACUUAAGUUCCCUCAUAUAUAUUCAUUUCGAAUUCUAUCAUUUCUUGUCUUGUCACUCAUCCAUCUCAACAUCCUCAUAUAAGUUACACUCAUCCUAUGGAUAUGUUGUUUUUUGAUAGCUUGAUAUUCUAUUUUAUAAAGCAUGGUUAGUCUUACAGCCGUCCUAUAGAACUUCUCUUUUAGUCUCAAUGGUAUGCAGCGAUCACCUAAAACUCCGGUUGCACAUCUCCACUCCGUCUAAUUCUAUGUGUGACAUCUUUCUCAAUCUCUCCAUUCUUUUGGAUUGUCGACCUUAGAUAUUGGAACAAUCUCUUUUAGGUAUUUCUUGACCAUCACUUAACUUUUUCUUGGUUUCUACUCCUAUUAUUACUAAACUUGCAUUCCAUAUAUAUUGCCUUGGGCCGUAUAAUUUUAAAACCUUGCGUUGUUCUAGUUUCAUCGAUCAAAACUGUGUUGACUGAAGAAUAUGAAUCCCAAAUUAUCUCACUUCUUUCUGAAGUCUUCCUGUAAAUGACCUCACUGUUUGGAAUCUUGAAAAAUAUUGUCUUUCAUAGAUUUCCUAGAGAAGGGAGAUGUGCCAAGACAAAGCUAUAACACGCACCAUGAGUCGACACAUCCUGCCUACUGAAAAUAAAAGUGCGCGAAUACACCAAAGGAUGUCUCCAAAGCCACAAGAAGACAGCAGCUUCUUAUUCAUCAAUGAUGGUGCACAAUCCUCUCUUCCCCAACAGAAAGGGGUUUGGAGUUGGCAAUGGGCUGGCCCGGCCUGGUUCACCUUGAUCCGCCUGGCCUUAAAAAACUAGGACCUUGCCACAAAAUGUGGUACAAGGGCUUGGCUACCAUUGGCCAAGGAUAUAGGGCUGGGGGGGGCCAGGCCAGGGCCAAGUCCAAGACACGGC